Molecule: ribosomal RNA, 492 nt
Filed under: uncultured bacterium
Lineage: Bacteria
Description: partial 16S ribosomal RNA
Rfam family: Bacterial small subunit ribosomal RNA
Source: RNAcentral
AGUGAACGCUGGCGGUAGGCCUAACACAUGCAAGUCGAACGGCAGCACAGUAAGAGCUUGCUCUUACGGGUGGCGAGUGGCGGACGGGUGAGGAAUACAUCGGAAUCUACUUUUUCGUGGGGGAUAACGUAGGGAAACUUACGCUAAUACCGCAUACGACCUACGGGUGGAAGCAGGGGAUCUUCGGACCUUGCGCGAUUGAAGGAGCCGAUGUCGGAUUAGCUAGUUGGCGGGGUAAAGGCCCACCAAGGCGACGAUCCGUAGCUGGUCUGAGAGGAUGAUCAGCCACACUGGAACUGAGACACGGUCCAGACUCCUACGGGAGGCAGCAGUGGGGAAUAUUGGACAAUGGGCGCAAGCCUGAUCCAGCCAUACCGCGUGGGUGAAGAAGGCCUUCGGGUUGUAAAGCCCUUUUGUUGGGAAAGAAAAGCAGCAGGUUAAUACCCCGCUGUUCUGACGUUACCCAAAGAAUAAGCACCGGCUAACUUCGUG